Molecule: small nuclear RNA, 268 nt
Filed under: Cryptosporidium parvum
Lineage: Eukaryota; Apicomplexa; Conoidasida; Eucoccidiorida; Cryptosporidiidae
Source: RNAcentral
UCCUAGCAAGUACACUCGCACCGAGCCUUUUUCUCUUUGGCUUGGUAGUUUUUUUCACCUUGCGAAAUAGAACUACCACAAAAUUCCAUGUUUCAUUAGCCAGGGUUUCAUGGACUGUACUGGGAAACAAGCAUUUUUCUUGCGCAGGUAUCUCCAACACGGAUAUAUCAAUGAAUUGUUGGUCGUGUUGCGCAUAUACUAACAAUUCAUUCUUGCAUAGUUGGAUUUUCGUAACUUUGUAUAAUCCUGGAAAGAAUGAAGACAAAAG